UCAGUUGUCUUAUAAUUGAAGACUGGAAUGAAUGGUUAAACGAAAUUAGAGCUGUUUCAUUUGUAUUUAUUAGAAAUUGGCUUUUAAAUGAAGAGAUUUAAAUUUGAUUAAGGGACAAGAAGACCCUAUUGAGCUUUAAAUAAUUUUGAGGGUUAAAGUUAUUAUAAAGAUCUAUGAUCUUUAGUAUUUUUUUAGUUGGGGCGACUAAGGAACAGGAGAAGCUUCCUUUAUUUAUUUGAUUGAUAAAUUUUGAUCCUGUAUUACUGAUUAAGAGAGAUAGUUACCAUAGGGAUAACAGCAUAAUCUUCUUGGAGAGUUCUUAUUAAAAAGGGGGGUUGUGACCUCGAUGUUGGACUAAAAUAUCCUAAGGGUGUA
This 375-nucleotide ribosomal RNA is filed under the name Cipangopaludina chinensis laeta. RNAcentral's name for it is "partial 16S rRNA". It matches the Rfam family "Bacterial large subunit ribosomal RNA", at positions 1965 to 2557 of the family's 2925-position model. The record is from RNAcentral. Lineage: Eukaryota; Metazoa; Mollusca; Gastropoda; Architaenioglossa; Viviparidae.